GUCGAGUCGGCCUGCGCGGAAGAUGUAACGGGGCUAAACCAUGCACCGAAGCUGCGGCAGCGACGCUGAUGCGUUGUUGGGUAGGGGAGCGUUCUGUAAGCCUGUGAAGGUGGCCUGUGAGGGUUGCUGGAGGUAUCAGAAGUGCGAAUGCUGACAUAAGUAACGAUAAAGCGGGUGAAAAGCCCGCUCGCCGGAAGACCAAGGGUUCCUGUCCAACGUUAAUCGGGGCAGGGUGAGUCGACCCCUAAGGCGAGGCCGAAAGGCGUAGUCGAUGGGAAACGGGUUAAUAUUCCCGUACUUGGUGUUACUGCGAAGGGGGGACGGAGAAGGCUAUGUUGGCCGGGCGACGGUUGUCCCGGUUUAAGCGUGUAGGUGUGUGUUCCAGGUAAAUCCGGUUCACUUUAACACUGAGGCGUGACGACGAGGCACUACGGUGCUGAAGCAACAAAUGCCCUGCUUCCAGGAAAAGCCUCUAAGCAUCAGGUAACAUCAAAUCGUACCCCAAACCGACACAGGUGGUCAGGUAGAGAAUACCAAGGCGCUUGAGAGAACUCGGGUGAAGGAACUAGGCAAAAUGGUGCCGUAACUUCGGGAGAAGGCACGCUGACAUGUAGGUGAAGUGAUUUACUCACGGAGCUGAAGUCAGUCGAAGAUACCAGCUGGCUGCAACUGUUUAUUAAAAACACAGCACUGUGCAAACACGAAAGUGGACGUAUACGGUGUGACGCCUGCCCGGUGCCGGAAGGUUAAUUGAUGGGGUCAGCGCAAGCGAAGCUCCUGAUCGAAGCCCCGGUAAACGGCGGCCGUAACUAUAACGGUCCUAAGGUAGCGAAAUUCCUUGUCGGGUAAGUUCCGACCUGCACGAAUGGCGUAAUGAUGGCCAGGCUGUCUCCACCCGAGACUCAGUGAAAUUGAACUCGCUGUGAAGAUGCAGUGUACCCGCGGCAAGACGGAAAGACCCCGUGAACCUUUACUAUAGCUUGACACUGAACAUUGAGCCUUGAUGUGUAGGAUAGGUGGGAGGCUUUGAAGUGUGGACGCCAGUCUGCAUGGAGCCGACCUUGAAAUACCACCCUUUAAUGUUUGAUGUUCUAACGUGGACCCGUAAUCCGGGUUGCGGACAGUGUCUGGUGGGUAGUUUGACUGGGGCGGUCUCCUCCUAAAGAGUAACGGAGGAGCACGAAGGUUGGCUAAUCCUGGUCGGACAUCAGGAGGUUAGUGCAAUGGCAUAAGCCAGCUUGACUGCGAGCGUGACGGCGCGAGCAGGUGCGAAAGCAGGUCAUAGUGAUCCGGUGGUUCUGAAUGGAAGGGCCAUCGCUCAACGGAUAAAAGGUACUCCGGGGAUAACAGGCUGAUACCGCCCAAGAGUUCAUAUCGACGGCGGUGUUUGGCACCUCGAUGUCGGCUCAUCACAUCCUGGGGCUGAAGUAGGUCCCAAGGGUAUGGCUGUUCGCCAUUUAAAGUGGUACGCGAGCUGGGUUUAGAACGUCGUGAGACAGUUCGGUCCCUAUCUGCCGUGGGCGCUGGAGAACUGAGGGGGGCUGCUCCUAGUACGAGAGGACCGGAGUGGACGCAUCACUGGUGUUCGGGUUGUCAUGCCAAUGGCACUGCCCGGUAGCUAAAUGCGGAAGAGAUAAGUGCUGAAAGCAUCUAAGCACGAAACUUGCCCCGA
RNAcentral lists this ribosomal RNA (1672 nucleotides) under Salmonella enterica. RNAcentral's name for it is "bacterial LSU rRNA". It matches the Rfam family "Bacterial large subunit ribosomal RNA", at positions 1148 to 2802 of the family's 2925-position model. Lineage: Bacteria; Pseudomonadati; Pseudomonadota; Gammaproteobacteria; Enterobacterales; Enterobacteriaceae. The record is from RNAcentral.